Molecule: long non-coding RNA, 726 nt
Filed under: Mus pahari (shrew mouse)
Lineage: Eukaryota; Metazoa; Chordata; Mammalia; Rodentia; Muridae
Description: predicted gene, 26626 (MGP_PahariEiJ_G0002410.1)
Source: RNAcentral
ACAUUCGAGUGCAUUGACGGGCCUCCAAAGGAUGAAGCUCUCUGAAUAACUCUGAUUUCCCUGCCCAGGAGCGAAGGGCUUACUUGAGAGUCGACUGGAAAGUUCUGCAGAGAGGCUGGUCAUGCCGCUGGCACGGCCGGGUGAAAUGGGUGUCGCUGGGUGCACAGAGGAAGAGGUGAUGGAUCCCAGUUUGGUUUUAGUGUCUGGGAAAAUAAAACACAACAACCACAAACCCGAAAAUGUAAGGACCACAGACCUGCUUGUUUCUGGGCAAACAUUUUAACUUGGAAUCUCCUGGUUUAGAGACCUCCUGACUUCCUCCCAAUGGCAGAGAGCUUGUCUGAAGGGACGGCACAGAAAAGGGAGCUGGUGUACACUAAACUCAUCAGACAAGUGCUUUGACGCAGGUGAAGCCUUGUGCGGUUUUACGGCCAACUGUUCCAGAGGGCUGGAGGUGCCCCGUGAAUAAAGGUUAUCAAGAAACCGAGGGAGAGCUGACUGAAAUACAAGGAAAAGCAGACAAACCCAUCCUUAUGGCCGGAGACUUCAGCACCCUCUUCCAGUCACUGAUAGGCCAUGCAAGCAGAAAUUCAGACUCGGCUGACCUGGACAGUAUCAGUUUGACCUAAAGAACACCUGUAGACCGCUCCUUUCUUCUGAAGCACACAGACCACUCACUAAGACAGACUACACUUGAGGCCGUGGAAUACUACUUGGGCUUAAAGG